Molecule: long non-coding RNA, 958 nt
Organism: Sebastes umbrosus (honeycomb rockfish)
Lineage: Eukaryota; Metazoa; Chordata; Actinopteri; Perciformes; Sebastidae
Exons: 3
Source: RefSeq, a predicted model, not a curated record
CGCGUCGCUCAGCAACCAAACAAACAGCGUCACGCACACGGCAGCGCGCAUGGAGAGACACGAGGACACCCGGGAGCGAGCCACAGGUGAACAGGGAGACAUCAAAUAGAAAAAAAACACAGAGAAAGAGAAGGAAACACACGCGCACAGUGUGUGUGUGUGAUACUAGGCAGCAGUUUCCUGGCAACGUCCUCGGCCAACCUCAGCAGCGGUCCUAAAGAGAGCCAACCUGGCUCCAGCUCCAUCCCGGCCCUCCCUGACAACAGAGGCGUUGACGUCGAUGUCAAAGUCCACAGUGUCUUGGAGCAGCGACGUCACGCGCUGGAACUCGGGUCUCCCAAAACAUUCAGAGAAACUUUUUAAAAUUAGACGUGAACGCAGCAUGACUAUUUAACAACUUUAAUAGGAAUCUACCGUUUUUCUCUGCUAAUAAUCAGACUUGAUCAAAGAUGUUUACAGUAUAAAAAAGUCCUCUGAAAUAAUUCUGAAAUCUCAUUUUUUAUUUAUGUUUUGACAAAAAUCUUUCUCAGAUAUUACCAGCAGAGUAUCGAGAGCAUCAGAAAAGUACUGGACAUUAGUAGACACUUGAGUGUUUGUGUUGACCUUAUUGAUCUGAAUCUGUAACUAAACGUAUCAGAUAAGUGUAGUGGAGUAAAAAGUACAAUUUCCCUCUGACAUGUAGUGAAACAUGAAAAGCAGGAAAAAUGUGCUAAAUACAGGAUAGAGAGCAUUUCUAUUGGCUCUCACAGCUCUCAACAUGGCCACUGUGAGCCUCUAACGGUGCUAACAGCGCUAACACUGCAAACAAUGGUGAAAGUUCUGACAAAGAUAACAGUGUUUACCUGAGGGGCAACUGGAGGGUGGGUGCUACGCUACCGCAACGACGGUCGGGAUGGCAUUAUCAGCUGUAACCACCGUAUAAGAGCAGUGCAGAGCGGCGGCCGUGGGUGAGCCAGUG